CGCUCUGUAAAGUGUAUAGCCUGAAUUUACAGGAUGAAACAAUGUGCAUUAAUUAAUUAAACAACCACAACACCAGUGGAGGAUUUGAUCGAUGGUACAUUUGAAUUCUGAUAAGUCCGAUCACAGCUGGUCGGCAAUGUGAAUGUUGUUUCCCUUUGAACCGCGUUGCGCGCCAGUGGAUGCGCGUUGCUUUGCGCAAACUGGAAUAUCAUCUUUGCGACCAGUAGGCCAAAUUAUCUGUUUAGAAUAAACCAAGCUUUCAUUCUCAACGGUUUAAUCCAUUACAGUUGUCAGGUAAGGGCCACUAAUUGGAUUAUUUUCAUUAUCUGUAUGUAAGAUACUUUACAUCCAAUUAGGCUUAGAGAUCUAAGUAGCGUAAACCUAAUUUAAGUUUCCCUUUUUUCUCUAUAGUUGUAUCUUUAUAGUGGUCAAGUAAGGACUACUAAUAUACGUUUCCUUCUCUCUAUAUCACAGCACCGGUCACAAAUUUGAUCAGGAAUCCAUUGUACAAUGUAGUUACAAAACCUAGCUCCGCUAGGAAGACUUUUUUUAUUUUCAGCAACUUGCAAUUAGAUUAGGAGGACCGGCAAGUCAGAGUGCUCAUGUCAGGAGCUGAUGAUACGGAGGAACCGGAAGCAGGGAGGAGGAACAUCGGAUGGCUGGAUGACCCUGCUUGCCGGGCAACCCAUUACUGAUUUCCCAGAGAUGACGGUCUGCAAGAUGAGAUGUCAUCCUGGACGAAGAUACAUUCACUUUUGAAUCCCAAGGAACCGGAAGCAGAGAGGAGAACCGACGGAAGGACUGAAGACCCUGCUUGCAGAGCAAGUCUUCACCAAUUCUUGAGAUUCCUCUUGUUUCGUGUAAGCAGCAGAGACGAUGACAAUAUACAUAACGGAGUGCAGUUGUUCACCAAGGCUGG
Patiria miniata (bat star) is the source of this 919-nucleotide long non-coding RNA. RefSeq lists it as uncharacterized. The record is from RefSeq and is a predicted model, not a curated record. The transcript is spliced from 3 exons. NCBI's taxonomy places the organism in Eukaryota, Metazoa, Echinodermata, Asteroidea, Valvatida, Asterinidae.